UACGAAGGGGGCUAGCGUUGCUCGGAAUUACUGGGCGUAAAGCGCACGUAGGCGGAUCUUUAAGUCAGGGGUGAAAUCCUGGAGCUCAACUCCAGAACUGCCUUUGAUACUGAGGACCUUGAGUUCGGGAGAGGUGAGUGGAACUGCGAGUGUAGAGGUGAAAUUCGUAGAUAUUCGCAAGAACACCAGUGGCGAAGGCGGCUCACUGGCCCGAUACUGACGCUGAGGUGCGAAAGCGUGGGGAGCAAGCAGG
RNAcentral lists this ribosomal RNA (253 nucleotides) under uncultured bacterium. RNAcentral describes it as "partial 16S ribosomal RNA". It matches the Rfam family "Bacterial small subunit ribosomal RNA", at positions 524 to 776 of the family's 1533-position model. The record is from RNAcentral.